CCUCCUUAUACGAUUUAGAACUUAUUUGUUCGUANUGUCCACACAGAUGAUUGUUAGUUAGCUAAGCCACUGGCUUACCUAAUUAAUAUGCUCUUUAAAAAUUUGGAAAAGCUGAUAAUAAAAUUCGUAUAGAUAACAGUUGUUAUUUAUACAGAGUUUUCAAAAGUAAAAAAUGCCAUUGAUUAUUCAAACGAAUAAUGAAUUGGUAUCUACUUUAGUAUUCAAUAUUAACUUCUGGCGAAGUUAAACUGUCACUAUAAAUACAAUUAAGUGUAAAAACUUUAGUAUUGCGACGUGGAUUUGAUACUUAGGCAACGCCGCUGAUAUUUUUUGUCCCUGGGCGCAUAACGUUGUUUAUGUAACCAAGCUAAAAAUAAAAAUGCAAGGGCA
Molecule: unclassified non-coding RNA, 390 nt
Filed under: uncultured Pseudoalteromonas sp.
Lineage: Bacteria; Pseudomonadati; Pseudomonadota; Gammaproteobacteria; Alteromonadales; Pseudoalteromonadaceae
Description: partial 16S-23S ribosomal RNA intergenic spacer
Source: RNAcentral